AUGCCGAUGAGGAUUUUGCUGUCGGCGCGCCCGAGCCGCGUUCGGUGGUUCCUGGCGAUGCUCUUGUUGGUGGUGGCGGUUGGCUCGCUGCUGCUGGAAGCAGGCGCGCUGGAAUCCUCGGAAAUAAGCUCGAUGUCUCCCCUGGUAUGCAGGAAUCCCCUUCGCUUGCUCUCGCCGACGGCAGUCACCAUGGUGGUGGUCAAGUCGACAGGGACUGGUAUGAAGACUGUUCUUGCGACCGGUUCCAGAGCAAAUCAUCGAUGGUGCUUGAGCUUUGGCGCUCCCGGCGGACAGCCGGCUUGCAGCGCCGCCGCGCCACCGAAUCCUCUGGCCGAAGGGCGGCCAAACCUCUUCCUCCUAGCCUUGAAGCUAUAUGGGAGGCAGUGCUACUCUAGAUCGAUGUUCAUGGCUUGCUGCGGUGAAGAACUCGUCGGACCAAGUGGUGAUGUCCCCGGAGCCGGCGAGUUUGGAGUCGAUCGGGAGUGGCUUGGACCUGAUUGCGUUCCUCUUCAGAUCUUUGGGGUCCUUUCUGCAUAUUUCAGGGACUGCUUUGUAAUUUUCAGUUUGUUGUGUGUCCUGUUGUUCUGGCUUGUACUACGGUAUUGUAAUAUCAAAUAA
RNAcentral lists this ribosomal RNA (618 nucleotides) under Triticum aestivum (bread wheat). RNAcentral describes it as "partial small subunit ribosomal RNA". Lineage: Eukaryota; Viridiplantae; Streptophyta; Magnoliopsida; Poales; Poaceae. The record is from RNAcentral.